RNAcentral lists this ribosomal RNA (235 nucleotides) under uncultured bacterium. RNAcentral describes it as "partial 16S ribosomal RNA". It matches the Rfam family "Bacterial small subunit ribosomal RNA", at positions 99 to 334 of the family's 1533-position model. The record is from RNAcentral.
CGGACGGGUGAGUAAUGUCUGGGAAACUGCCUGAUGGAGGGGGGUAACUACUGGAAACGGUAGCUAAUACCGCAUAACGUCGCAAGACCAAAAGAAGGGGGACCGUUCGGGCCUCUUGCCAUCGGAUGUGCCCAGAUGGGAUUAGCUAGUAGGUGGGGUAACGGCUCACCUAGGCGACGAUCCCUAGCUGGUCUGAGAGGAUGACCAGCCACACUGGAACUGAGACACGGUCCAG